This 1371-nucleotide ribosomal RNA is filed under the name uncultured bacterium. Its description in RNAcentral is "bacterial SSU rRNA". It matches the Rfam family "Bacterial small subunit ribosomal RNA", at positions 28 to 1381 of the family's 1533-position model. The record is from RNAcentral.
GAUGAACGCUGGCGGCGUGCCUAAUACAUGCAAGUCGAGCGAACGGACGAGAAGCUUGCUUCUCUGAUGUUAGCGGCGGACGGGUGAGUAACACGUGGAUAACCUACCUAUAAGACUGGGAUAACUUCGGGAAACCGGAGCUAAUACCGGAUAAUAUUUUGAACCGCAUGGUUCAAAAGUGAAAGACGGUCUUGCUGUCACUUAUAGAUGGAUCCGCGCUGCAUUAGCUAGUUGGUAAGGUAACGGCUUACCAAGGCAACGAUGCAUAGCCGACCUGAGAGGGUGAUCGGCCACACUGGAACUGAGACACGGUCCAGACUCCUACGGGAGGCAGCAGUAGGGAAUCUUCCGCAAUGGGCGAAAGCCUGACGGAGCAACGCCGCGUGAGUGAUGAAGGUCUUCGGAUCGUAAAACUCUGUUAUUAGGGAAGAACAUAUGUGUAAGUAACUGUGCACAUCUUGACGGUACCUAAUCAGAAAGCCACGGCUAACUACGUGCCAGCAGCCGCGGUAAUACGUAGGUGGCAAGCGUUAUCCGGAAUUAUUGGGCGUAAAGCGCGCGUAGGCGGUUUUUUGAGUCUGAUGUGAAAGCCCACGGCUCAACCGUGGAGGGUCAUUGGAAACUGGAAAACUUGAGUGCAGAAGAGGAAAGUGGAAUUCCAUGUGUAGCGGUGAAAUGCGCAGAGAUAUGGAGGAACACCAGUGGCGAAGGCGACUUUCUGGUCUGUAACUGACGCUGAUGUGCGAAAGCGUGGGGACCAAACAGGAUUAGAUACCCUGGUAGUCCACGCCGUAAACGAUGAGUGCUAAGUGUUAGGGGGUUUCCGCCCCUUAGUGCUGCAGCUAACGCAUUAAGCACUCCGCCUGGGGAGUACGACCGCAAGGUUGAAACUCAAAGGAAUUGACGGGGACCCGCACAAGCGGUGGAGCAUGUGGUUUAAUUCGAAGCAACGCGAAGAACCUUACCAAAUCUUGACAUCCUUUGACAACUCUAGAGAUAGAGCCUUCCCCUUCGGGGGACAAAGUGACAGGCGGUGCAUGGUUGUCGUCAGCUCGUGUUGUGAGAUGUUGGGUUAAGUCCCGCAACGAGCGCAACCCUUAAGCUUAGUUGCCAUCAUUAAGUUGGGCACUCUAAGUUGACUGCCGGUGACAAACCGGAGGAAGGUGGGGAUGACGUCAAAUCAUCAUGCCCCUUAUGAUUUGGGCUACACACGUGCUACAAUGGACAAUACAAAGGGCAGCGAAACCGCGAGGUCAAGCAAUCCCAUAAAGUUGUUCUCAGUUCGGAUUGUAGUCUGCAACUCGACUACAUGAAGCUGGAAUCGCUAGUAAUCGUAGAUCAGCAUGCUACGGUGAAUACGUUCCCGGGUCU